UACGUAGGGAGCAAGCGUUAAUCGGAAUUACUGGGCGUAAAGCGUGCGCAGGCGGUUCCAUAAUACAGAUGUGAAAUCCCCGGGCUCAACCUGGGAACUGCAUUUGUGACUGUGGGGCUAGAGUACGGUAGAGGGGGAUGGAAUUCCGCGUGUAGCAGUGAAAUGCGUAGAUAUGCGGAGGAACACCAAUGGCGAAGGCAAUCCCCUGGACCUGUACUUACGCUCAUGCACGAAAGCGUGGGGAGCAAACAGG
This 253-nucleotide ribosomal RNA is filed under the name uncultured bacterium. RNAcentral describes it as "partial 16S ribosomal RNA". It matches the Rfam family "Bacterial small subunit ribosomal RNA", at positions 524 to 776 of the family's 1533-position model. The record is from RNAcentral.